GCAGCGGUGGUUCAGUGAUAGAAUCCUCACCUUCAAUGGGGGAGACAGGGUUCAAUUCCCAGCCAGUGCA
Molecule: transfer RNA, 70 nt
Filed under: Loxodonta africana (African savanna elephant)
Lineage: Eukaryota; Metazoa; Chordata; Mammalia; Proboscidea; Elephantidae
Rfam family: tRNA
About the family: Transfer RNA (tRNA) molecules are approximately 80 nucleotides in length. Their secondary structure includes four short double-helical elements and three loops (D, anti-codon, and T loops).
Source: Rfam by way of RNAcentral